Molecule: unclassified non-coding RNA, 144 nt
Filed under: Anguillospora crassa
Lineage: Eukaryota; Fungi; Ascomycota
Also listed under: 3 other names
Description: partial internal transcribed spacer 2
Source: RNAcentral
UGACCAAUCCCGCUCGCGGGGUCUUGGGCACCGCCUCUGGGCGGGCCUCAAAAUCAGUGGCGGUACGGCCGGGCUCUGAGCGUAGUAAAUCUUCUCGCUACAGGGUCCCGGGCGGCACUGGCCAGCAACCCCCAAUCUUUUACA